CUAUCUUAAAGUCAAUAUUAUCUAUAACUCUAUUUUAUUAAUUGUUUCUUGCAAAUCCUCCUAAGUGCUAAAAGCUAUUUACUUGAAGUUAACCAACCAAAAAAUUUGUAUUUAUAAAGUGUUGAUCAAGCAAGUUUUUAUUUACUAAAUGCAAAGUAGAAAAAAUAUGACUCGAAUUUUUACUUUAUUAGUCAUUUUUUCUCUACUUCUUGUGGUAACCAAAGGCCGUUGGAAGUGCCAAGGUGACGGUGAUUGUCCAAUAAAUAUAUGUGACCCUCCUAUGGUUGCGAAGUGCAUUGGAAAUAUAUGUGAUUGCGACUAUGCGAAAAAGUACAGAUUGAUAUAAAAGAAAAAAGAACACGUACUUUUAUAUGAAAACAAUUACUAUAUGUUAAUAAUAAGUGUGUAAAAAAAAAAGGCGUGUAAUUUAUUUGUACGUCAUAAUUGGAGCACACUUUGAUUUAAGUUUCUCUUGCAUUUUUAUUUCUUUGACAAGUUCAAAAAUGUAUUAUUGUAUUACAUAAGUAUUUUCGUAAGUAUAUAAUUACCUUUAUUCGAUAA
This is a long non-coding RNA of Trifolium pratense (red clover), 561 nucleotides long. RefSeq lists it as uncharacterized. NCBI's taxonomy places the organism in Eukaryota, Viridiplantae, Streptophyta, Magnoliopsida, Fabales, Fabaceae. The transcript is spliced from 2 exons. The record is from RefSeq and is a predicted model, not a curated record.